ACCAGGAUGGCCGAGUGAUUAAGGGGUUGGACUUAAAAUCCAAUAGACGUGAGUCUGCGUGGGUUCAAGUCCCACUCCUGGUA
Molecule: non-coding RNA, 83 nt
Organism: Paramormyrops kingsleyae
Lineage: Eukaryota; Metazoa; Chordata; Actinopteri; Osteoglossiformes; Mormyridae
Source: the annotation of a RefSeq genome assembly